Molecule: non-coding RNA, 24 nt
Filed under: Mus musculus (house mouse)
Lineage: Eukaryota; Metazoa; Chordata; Mammalia; Rodentia; Muridae
Source: RNAcentral
UGGUUUUCUAGUUUGUCAGUGUCA